This 253-nucleotide ribosomal RNA is filed under the name uncultured bacterium. RNAcentral describes it as "partial 16S ribosomal RNA". It matches the Rfam family "Bacterial small subunit ribosomal RNA", at positions 524 to 776 of the family's 1533-position model. The record is from RNAcentral.
UACGUAGGGUCCAAGCGUUGUCCGGAUUUACUGGGCGUAAAGGGCGCGUAGGCGGCGCAACAAGUCACUUGUGAAAUCUCCGGGCUUAACCCGGAGAGGCCAAGUGAUACUGUCGUGCUAGAGUGCGGAAGGGGCUACUGGAAUUCUCGGUGUAGCGGUGAAAUGCGUAGAUAUCGAGAGGAACACCUGCGGCGAAGGCGGGUAGCUGGGCCGACACUGACGCUGAGGAGCGAAAGCGUGGGUAGCAAACAGG